This 400-nucleotide ribosomal RNA is filed under the name uncultured bacterium. Its description in RNAcentral is "bacterial SSU rRNA". It matches the Rfam family "Bacterial small subunit ribosomal RNA", at positions 123 to 541 of the family's 1533-position model. The record is from RNAcentral.
AAUCUACCUUAGUUACAGGGAUAGCCCGAGGAAACUCGGAUUAAUACCUGAUAUUCUUUAUAUUUCGCAUGAAAUUAAAAGGAAAGGUCAGCCGAACUAAGAUGAGCUCGCGUUCUAUCAGCUAGUUGGUGAGGUAAAAGCUCACCAAGGCUACGACGGAUAGCUGGUCUGAGAGGACGAUCAGCCACACUGGGACUGAGACACGGCCCAGACUCCUACGGGAGGCUGCAGCAGGGAAUAUUGCGCAAUGAGCGAAAGCUUGACGCAGCGACACCGCGUGUGGGAUGACGGAUCUAGGUUUGUAAACCACUUUCAGGAGGGAAGAAAAUGACGGUACCUCCAAAAGAAGCCCCGGCCAACUACGUGCCAGCAGCCGCGGUAAUACGUAGGGGGCGAGCGU